Molecule: ribosomal RNA, 467 nt
Filed under: Tubulanus sp. 3 TCH-2015
Lineage: Eukaryota; Metazoa; Nemertea; Palaeonemertea; Tubulaniformes; Tubulanidae
Description: partial 16S ribosomal RNA
Rfam family: Bacterial large subunit ribosomal RNA
Source: RNAcentral
AGCUUAUUGAAAAUAUUUUAAGUACUUUCUGCCCGGUGAUAUUUUUAACGGCCGCGGUAUUUUGACCGUGCAAAGGUAGCAUAAUCAUUUGUCUAUUAAUUGUAGACUAGUAUGAAUGGAUUAACGUGAUAUAUAUUGUCUCUUUUUUAUUUUUUUAAUUUUCUUUUUACAUGAAGAAGUGUAAAUUUCUAUAAGGGACGAGAAGACCCUAUUGAGUUUUACUUUUUUGUAAUAGUCUCUUUAUUAUUUGUAAAGUUUAGUUGGGGCAACUAAGGAGGAUAAAAUUCUCUUUUUUUAAAUUUUGAUCCAAUAUUAUUGAUUAUAAGAAUAAAUUACCAUAGGGAUAACAGCGUUAUUUUUCUAGAGAGUUCUUAUCGAUAGAAAAGAUUGCGACCUCGAUGUUGGACUAAAAUUUCCAAAAGGUGUAGAAGUUUUUAAUGGUAGGUCUGUUCGACCUUUAAAAUUUU